Non-coding RNA from Pelobates cultripes (western spadefoot toad), 322 nucleotides. NCBI's taxonomy places the organism in Eukaryota, Metazoa, Chordata, Amphibia, Anura, Pelobatidae. The record is from the annotation of a GenBank genome assembly.
CAAAUUUAAGGUCAAAGUAGUCGAAGUGGAUAAGUCAACUGUUUUUGCAAUGUAUCCAAUUUGGCCUUAAAGGGACCCUAUAGUCACCAGAACAACUACAGCUUACAGUAGUUGUUCUGGUGAGUAUAAUCAUUCCCUGCAGAUGUUUUCAUUGCUCCCUAAGGACACAUCAAGUGGUCACUCCUCAGAUCGCUAGUAGAGGUGCUUCCUGGGGCAGUGCUGCACAGUGUGCAGCUGUAACAAAUCACUGAGGUCUUGUUUAGUCCUGGAACUCAGGUGCAGUAACAGCUCUCCCUUACAAGCACGAUCCACAGAGAUCCUG